This 402-nucleotide ribosomal RNA is filed under the name uncultured bacterium. RNAcentral describes it as "bacterial SSU rRNA". It matches the Rfam family "Bacterial small subunit ribosomal RNA", at positions 355 to 774 of the family's 1533-position model. The record is from RNAcentral.
UAGGGAAUAUUGCACAAUGGGGGCAACCCUGAUGCAGCGACGCCGCGUGAGCGAUGAAGCCCUUCGGGGCGUAAAGCUCUUUCGACCGGAACGAUAAUGACGGUACCGGGAGAAGAAGCUGCGGCUAACUACGUGCCAGCAGCCGCGGUAAUACGUAGGCAGCAAGCGUUGUUCGGAGUUACUGGGCGUAAAGAGUGCGUAGGCGGUUUUCUAAGUUCGGUGUGAAAUCUCCCGGCUUAACUGGGAGGGUGCGCCGAAGACUGGGAAGCUGGAGUGUGGGAAAGGCAGGCGGAAUUCCUGGUGUAGCGGUGAAAUGCGUAGAUAUCAGGAGGAACACCGGCGGUGUAGACGGCUUGCUAGACCAUAACUGACGCUGAGGCACGAAAGCGUGGGUAGCAAACA